Molecule: ribosomal RNA, 1492 nt
Filed under: uncultured bacterium
Lineage: Bacteria
Description: 16S ribosomal RNA
Rfam family: Bacterial small subunit ribosomal RNA
Source: RNAcentral
UUUGAUCAUGGCUCAGGACGAACGCUGGCGGCGUGCCUNNCACAUNCAAGUCGAACGAUUUAGCAUUUGAGCUUGCUUGNCUGCUGGAUAGUGGCGGACGGGUGAGUAACGCGUGAGCAACCUGCCUUUUUGAGGGGGAUAACACCGGGAAACCGGAGCUAAUACCGCAUAAAAUAUUGAAAUCGCAUGGUAUCGAUAUCAAAGGAGCAAUCCGCAGAAAGAUGGACUCGCGUCCGAUUAGCUAGUUGGAGGGGUAACGGCCCACCAAGGCGACGAUCGGUAGCCGGACUGAGAGGUUGAACGGCCACAUUGGGACUGAGACACGGCCCAGACUCCUACGGGAGGCAGCAGUGGGGGAUAUUGCACAAUGGGGGAAACCCUGAUGCAGCAACGCCGCGUGAGGGAAGAAGGUUUUCGGAUUGUAAACCUCUGUCCUAGGUGAAGAUAAUGACGGUAACCUGGGAGGAAGCUCCGGCUAACUACGUGCCAGCAGCCGCGGUAAUACGUAGGGAGCGAGCGUUGUCCGGAAUUACUGGGUGUAAAGGGUGCGUAGGCCGGCCUUNNUGGGUCCAGGCGGUGAAAAUAACAUGGGGCUNAACCCAUNGNACUGCGCUUGAAACUAUAANGGCUUUGAGUGAAGUAGAGGCNAGGUNGGAAUUCCCGGUGUAAGCGGUGAAAUGCGUAGAGAUCGGGAGGAACACCAGUGGCGAAGGCGGCCUGCUGGGCUUUAACUGACGCUGAGGCACGAAAGCAUGGGUAGCAAACAGGAUUAGAUACCCUGGUAGUCCAUGCCGUAAACGAUGAUUACUAGGUGUGGGUGGACUGACCCCAUCCGUGCCGGAGUUAACACAAUAAGUUAAUUCCACCUGGGAAGUACGAACCGCAAGGUUUGAAACUCAAANGGAAUUGACGGGGGGNCCCNNANAAGCAGUGGGAGUNNUNUGGUUUAAUUNGAAGAUACGCGAAGAACCUUACCAGGUCUUGACAUCCGACUAACGAAGUAGAGAUACAUUAGGUGCCCUUCGGGGAAAGUCGAGACAGGUGGUGCAUGGUUGUCGUCAGCUCGUGUCGUGAGAUGUUGGGUUAAGUCCCGCAACGAGCGCAACCCUUACUGUUAGUUGCUACGCAAGAGCACUCUAGCAGGACUGCCGUUGACAAAACGGAGGAAGGUGGGGACGACGUCAAAUCAUCAUGCCCCUUAUGACCUGGGCUACACACGUACUACAAUGGCCGUAAACAGAGGGAAGCAAAGCCGCGAGGUGGAGCCAACCCCCAAAAGCGGUCUCAGUUCAGAUUGCAGGCUGCAACUCGCCUGCAUGAAGUCGGAAUUGCUAGUAAUCGCAGAUCAGAAUGCUGCGGUGAAUACGUUCCCGGGCCUUGUACACACCGCCCGUCACACCAUGGGAGCCGGUAAUACCCGAAGUCAGUUACUUAACCGUUAAGGAAAGCNCUUCNAGGGGGGUAGGAUUGGCGANCUGGGGUGAAGUCGUAA